AGAAAGCCACGGCUAACUACGUGCCAGCAGCCGCGGUAAUACGUAGGUGGCAAGCGUUGUCCGGAUUUAUUGGGCGUAAAGCGAGCGCAGGCGGUUUUUUAGGUCUGAUGUGAAAGCCUUCGGCUUAACCGGAGAAGGGCAUCGGAAACCGGGAGACUUGAGUGCAGAAGAGGACAGUGGAACUCCAUGUGUAGCGGUGAAAUGCGUAGAUAUAUGGAAGAACACCAGUGGCGAAGGCGGCUGUCUGGUCUGUAACUGACGCUGAGGCUCGAAAGCAUGGGUAGCGAACAGGAUUAGAUACCCUGGUAGUCCAUGCCGUAAACGAUGAGUGCUAAGUGUUGGAGGGUUUCCGCCCUUCAGUGCUGCAGCUAACGCAUUAAGCACUCCGCCUGGGGAGUACGACCGCAAGGUUGAAACUCAAAGGAAUUGACGGGGGCCCGCACAAGCGGUGGAGCAUGUGGUUUAAUUCGAUGCUACGCGAAGAACCUUACCAGGUCUUGACAUCUUCUGCUAACCUAAGAGAUUAGGCGUUCCCUUCGGGGACGGAAUGACAGGUGGUGCAUGGUUGUCGUCAGCUCGUGUCGUGAGAUGUUGGGUUAAGUCCCACAACGAGCGCAACCCUUAUUGUCAGUUGCCAGCAUUUAGUUGGGCACUCUGGCGAGACUGCCGGUGACAAACCGGAGGAAGGUGGGGAUGACGUCAAAUCAUCAUGCCCCUUAUGACCUGGGCUACACACGUGCUACAAUGGACGGUACAACGAGUCGCGAAACCGCGAGGUCAAGCUAAUCUCUUAAAGCCGUUCUCAGUUCGGAUUGCAGGCUGCAACUCGCCUGCAUGAAGUUGGAAUCGCUAGUAAUCGUGGAUCAGCAUGCCACGGUGAAUACGUUCCCGGGCCUUGUACACACCGCCCGUCACACCAUGAGAGUUUGUAACACCCAAAGCCGGUGAGGUAACCUUCGGGAACCAGCCGUCUAAGGUGGGACAGAUGAUUAGGGUGAAGUCGUAACAAGGUAGCCGUAGGAGAACCUGCGGCUGGAUCACCUCCUUUCUAA
RNAcentral lists this ribosomal RNA (1052 nucleotides) under uncultured bacterium. RNAcentral describes it as "bacterial SSU rRNA". It matches the Rfam family "Bacterial small subunit ribosomal RNA", at positions 485 to 1533 of the family's 1533-position model. The record is from RNAcentral.